UUUAUUAUGGCAGAUUAGUGUUUUAAAUUUAGAAUUUAAUUAUAUAUAAUUUAAUUUAUAUUAAUAAAU
This 69-nucleotide transfer RNA is filed under the name Ibalia leucospoides. Its description in RNAcentral is "tRNA-Leu". The record is from RNAcentral. Lineage: Eukaryota; Metazoa; Arthropoda; Insecta; Hymenoptera; Ibaliidae.